This 1372-nucleotide ribosomal RNA is filed under the name uncultured bacterium. RNAcentral describes it as "bacterial SSU rRNA". It matches the Rfam family "Bacterial small subunit ribosomal RNA", at positions 28 to 1381 of the family's 1533-position model. The record is from RNAcentral.
GAUGAACGCUGGCGGCGUGCCUAAUACAUGCAAGUCGAGCGAACGGACGAGAAGCUUGCUUCUCUGAUGUUAGCGGCGGACGGGUGAGUAACACGUGGAUAACCUACCUAUAAGACUGGGAUAACUUCGGGAAACCGGAGCUAAUACCGGAUAAUAUUUUGAACCGCAUGGUUCAAAAGUGAAAGACGGUCUUGCUGUCACUUAUAGAUGGAUCCGCGCUGCAUUAGCUAGUUGGUAAGGUAACGGCUUACCAAGGCAACGAUGCAUAGCCGACCUGAGAGGGUGAUCGGCCACACUGGAACUGAGACACGGUCCAGACUCCUACGGGAGGCAGCAGUAGGGAAUCUUCCGCAAUGGGCGAAAGCCUGACGGAGCAACGCCGCGUGAGUGAUGAAGGUCUUCGGAUCGUAAAACUCUGUUAUUAGGGAAGAACAUAUGUGUAAGUAACUGUGCACAUCUUGACGGUACCUAAUCAGAAAGCCACGGCUAACUACGUGCCAGCAGCCGCGGUAAUACGUAGGUGGCAAGCGUUAUCCGGAAUUAUUGGGCGUAAAGCGCGCGUAGGCGGUUUUUUAAGUCUGAUGUGAAAGCCCACGGCUCAACCGUGGAGGGUCAUUGGAAACUGGAAAACUUGAGUGCAGAAGAGGAAAGUGGAAUUCCAUGUGUAGCGGUGAAAUGCGCAGAGAUAUGGAGGAACACCAGUGGCGAAGGCGACUUUCUGGUCUGUAACUGACGCUGAUGUGCGAAAGCGUGGGGAUCAAACAGGAUUAGAUACCCUGGUAGCCCACGCCGUAAACGAUGAGUGCUAAGUGUUAGGGGGUUUCCGCCCCUUAGUGCUGCAGCUAACGCAUUAAGCACUCCGCCUGGGGAGCACGACCGCAAGGUUGAAACUCAAAGGAAUUGACGGGGACCCGCACAAGCGGUGGAGCAUGUGGUUUAAUUCGAAGCAACGCGAAGAACCUUACCAAAUCUUGACAUCCUUUGACAACUCUAGAGAUAGAGCUUUCCCCUUCGGGGGACAAAGUGACAGGUGAUGCAUGGUUGUCGUCAGCUCGUGUCGUGAGAUGUUGGGUUAAGUCCCGCAACGAGCGCAACCCUUAAGCUUAGUUGCCAUCAUUAAGUUGGGCACUCUAAGUUGACUGCCGGUGACAAACCGGAGGAAGGUGGGGAUGACGUCAAAUCAUCAUGCCCCUUAUGAUUUGGGCUACACACGUGCUACAAUGGACAAUACAAAGGGCAGCGAAACCGCGAGGUCAAGCAAAUCCCAUAAAGUUGUUCUCAGUUCGGAUCGUAGUCUGCAACUCGACUACAUGAAGCUGGAAUCGCUAGUAAUCGUAGAUCAGCAUGCUACGGUGAAUACGUUUCCGGGUCU